This 27-nucleotide non-coding RNA is filed under the name Homo sapiens (human). Lineage: Eukaryota; Metazoa; Chordata; Mammalia; Primates; Hominidae. The record is from RNAcentral.
UGCUAUUCGUUUCCCCAGAUUGUUGUG